Molecule: ribosomal RNA, 486 nt
Filed under: uncultured bacterium
Lineage: Bacteria
Description: partial 16S ribosomal RNA
Rfam family: Bacterial small subunit ribosomal RNA
Source: RNAcentral
ACUCAAAGGAAUAGACGGGGGCCCGCACAAGCAGCGGAGCGUGUGGUUUAAUUCGAGGCUACGCGAAGAACCUUACCCAGGUUUGACAUGCAGGUAGUAGGGAAGUGAAAGCGGACCGAUCCUUCGGGAAGCCUGUACAGGUGAUGCAUGGCUGUCGUCAGCUCGUGCCGUGAGGUGUUUGGUUAAGUCCAGUAACGAGCGCAACCCUUAGGGUCAGUUAUAUGUGUCUGGCCCGACUGCCGGUCUUAAGCCGGAGGAAGGUGGGGAUGACGUCAAGUCAGCAUGUCCUUUAUAUCUGGGGCUACACACACGCUACAAUGGGUAAUACAAUGGGUCGCCAACCCGCGAGGGGGAGCCAAUCCUACAAAAUUACCCUCAGUUCAGAUCGCAGGCUGCAACUCGCCUGCGUGAAGUCGGAGUUGCUAGUAAACGCAGGACAGCUAUACUGCGUUGAAUACGUUCCCGGGCCUUGUACACACCGCCCGU